Long non-coding RNA from Peromyscus eremicus (cactus mouse), 342 nucleotides. RefSeq lists it as uncharacterized. The transcript is spliced from 3 exons. The record is from RefSeq and is a predicted model, not a curated record. Lineage: Eukaryota; Metazoa; Chordata; Mammalia; Rodentia; Cricetidae.
UAAUGACUGGUGCACACAGGCAAACAACUAUUCAGAACAGCACGCCAGAAGGAUGCCUUAAAACAUCAGAACAGAGGCCAAUAUAACUAGUCAUCAGCAUAGACACAGCUCCAUGGCUUUGCCCUUCCUUAUCCAAAGGACUGAUUUAAACAUCAGCUCCAGGAAGCCUUCCCUUGUUUCCCAGAUAGAAGUAAUCAUCCACAUCUGCAGUUCUUGGCAGUGCUACUGCUGUUGGAAGAGUGCUUUGGUAUGCCUGGAGUUGCAGCAAUCAAGAUUAAACAGGCUUCUCUGAAGGAGGGAGGGUAGAGUGGUCCUAACGCAGGGCAAAAUUUGAGGUGAGAG